GACUCUCGACAACGGAUAUCUCGACUCUCGCAUCGAUGAAGAACGUAGCGAAAUGCGUUAUUAUUAUGACAGGGACUUGAUUGUAUUAUGUUUUAGACAUUCAAAUGAGUGUGA
RNAcentral lists this ribosomal RNA (114 nucleotides) under Cucumis melo (muskmelon). RNAcentral describes it as "5.8S ribosomal RNA". It matches the Rfam family "5.8S ribosomal RNA". Rfam says of the family: 5.8S ribosomal RNA (5.8S rRNA) is a component of the large subunit of the eukaryotic ribosome. It is transcribed by RNA polymerase I as part of the 45S precursor that also contains 18S and 28S rRNA. Lineage: Eukaryota; Viridiplantae; Streptophyta; Magnoliopsida; Cucurbitales; Cucurbitaceae. The record is from Rfam by way of RNAcentral.